Molecule: long non-coding RNA, 862 nt
Organism: Alexandromys fortis (reed vole)
Lineage: Eukaryota; Metazoa; Chordata; Mammalia; Rodentia; Cricetidae
Exons: 3
Source: RefSeq, a predicted model, not a curated record
UCGCCUCUCCAUUGAUCAAGUCUGCAAGGCUUUUGGAGUAGUCACACGUUCAUCUUACUAAUUGCUCAUUCAAAACGUCGUCACCUGUUUGACAAUGCCGCUCUUUCUGUGUGCAUCGGAACAAUACAAGAAAAACUGAUUUGAAGGAGCCAGUAAGACUGUGGGAAUCCAAAGGUCACAAUCCCGAGGCGGGAAAGGAAGAAGGAAAAAGACUGAUGAGGCUGGAACAGUCAUGCGAGGCCAAAGGCCUGGAGUCUGCAGUCACGCAGAGCCUGUGAGGAACGGCAAAGAGCUUACUCCAUAUGAAAAGCUGAGGAAGUCCCUCUUCUCUGGGAGCUAGUGCAUAAUACAACAAGAAUUAAGAAAAAAGAUACAAAAGCUGACUACAAUGGGGUCCAAGAAAUGAUCAAACGGCUGUGAACCGAGUGUUCUGGAAAAUACAAAUAAAGGAUUCAAUGGUGCUGCUCCAGGGAGGUCUACAAGAGGGCUUUGCCAGUAUGACAUAUUUAAGUGGGGCACUACAGCAAGAUAGUUUUGUUGCUGUUGUUUUUGAAGAAACUAGAAAGAGCCAGGUAGCUCUGUGGUGAGCUCUUGUUUAGCGAUGUUCAGGGCCCCCGAGUACUUCCCGGGUACUGCAGACAGUGAAAGAUCGGGGAAGUAGGCUAUAAUGAGCUUCAGAUGCCGCGCUAAGGGUCUUCACUUGUAAUCUGAGGCAGAGGAAAAAACAGUCACAGCUGUUUUUGCAAAGCAGCAGCAUGAGAAGCUAAUGAACUAGCUCACAAGUUCCCAGCCAUUGUUUUCUUUUGUCAUGACUCCCUGUGGCAAUCCAGUGGGGGCUGUGAACAGCUCUUCCAAGAGCGUG